CUCUCUUCUCUGAUCGUCCUCCACGAGAGACGGCUGGGCAUUUGCUCAUCAAAAUAGAGCUAGAAGUUGCAAAUGUCAUCGCCUAUGGAGCGCAGAUGAAGCCUUUCUUUGUCACCACUGGUCAGCUGUGAAAGGAGCAGAAGCUAGCCGGAAAAUUCGCAAGGUUCAUCGUCAGCACUGGCACUUAAGGAGAUAAAAGAUCCCCAUUAAAGAUCUCAUCAACAAUGUCCACUCCUCCUCUUCCUCUUUCUUUCACCAACUGUAGCCUUAUUUUUUCUUGAACUUAUAGCUUUUAUGGCCUCAAGGAGCGAUUAAUUGAAAACAGAGUCCUACAUCUUGCGAAAAUCAUGCAACAAACAAAGCACAGAACAGAGUUUGAGGAAAUAUAAAUUUGGGGAUCAUUGGAAUCUUGGAAUCGAGGACCGUGCAAAGCCUCAGGUGUACAAUGAAGAGCACAAGAACAAGGAUCUUCAACAACGUGUCACCGCAGCAAGAAACAAAAAUUGAAGAACUGGCUGUCAAAAAAAUGGAACGGCGAUGGAAUCUGCUUCACGUCACGUGCCUAAAAGCAGGAAAAAAUUCUUUCUUGCUUCUUCUUCGUCCAUAUGCACACUGUUUCUGUUGUUAUUUAUCUAUUCUAAGGCGGGGUUAACACUGUUGGGCUUCAGUUUUCAACAUUAGAGUUCUUUUCUUUUGCUGAUUGCUUCAAGUAUUAAUUUUUUUGGUCGCUUUUGUCUUGCUGUUUAGGUUUCACACAUAUACAAACGAGUUGCAGCUUAAAGUGUUGUCGUAAAUGGUUCUGUAAUUGGCGGGUAAAAAUAGGAAAAAUUGGAAGAGCUUGAGACAAUAGAUAAUGUUUCAGUCAUAUGCAUAGAGUAAGCAUUUCUUUGGGUAAAAAGGAAAUCAGUAAUUGCUGAUAUAUGAUAUAAGAAGAAUGUUGAAAUUGAUUAUGAGAUCUACUAAUUAUUGUCUCAAUUAGAAGUUCACGUGGUUCUUAUUCUUAUUAGUUAUUAUGAUAUUGGUAUGGCUUAAAUUUCAGUUUGCUGCAAAACGUGGAAAGUACCAGUAUAAUUGUACUUUUUGACGAAUGAAUCCUUGGUUUCGUUGUUAAAGAUUGUUCAUGAAGUAAGGCUGAAUUUGUUGUUUGUGGCAUCACUUGGAUUCUUUAAAUAUGGGUGACGAUGAAUUCGAUAAGUUUUACUUCCAAAAGAAGUACAUUGAAG
Long non-coding RNA from Arachis duranensis, 1223 nucleotides. RefSeq lists it as uncharacterized. Lineage: Eukaryota; Viridiplantae; Streptophyta; Magnoliopsida; Fabales; Fabaceae. The record is from RefSeq and is a predicted model, not a curated record. The transcript is spliced from 4 exons.